UCCUUGGUGGUCCAGUGGUUAGGACUCAGCACUUUCACUGCCAUGGCCCUGGUUUGAUUCCUGGUCAGGGAA
This is a non-coding RNA of Lipotes vexillifer (Yangtze River dolphin), 72 nucleotides long. Lineage: Eukaryota; Metazoa; Chordata; Mammalia; Artiodactyla; Lipotidae. The record is from the annotation of a RefSeq genome assembly.